GCAGGAUUUCUGGAUUAAAGGAAAAAUGAAUUUGUGAUUGUAAUAAGGAUUGCCAAAUUGUUUCUCUAGGGCUCUACCCGCUCCCAAAACCAGGAAUGGAGGAAAGUGGCCAUCAGCCUUGCCGAAUGGAGUGUGCUGCCACACUUACAGACUUCUGCAAUGAGAUGGGGAGAGCGGGUCUGUGAAAUUUUCAGAAGCUCAAUGUAUCUGACUUGCAAAUUAGCAGAGCUGAAAGGUGGAGAGGCUACCUUACUGUGUCAUCUUGGAGAGACACCCGAUUGCAGAAGAAAAUAAAGCCAACUGGUCAACUCUUUGCACCUAACUCACCACCCCAUCUUGUUCAUGUUGUCGCCAUUCUACAUGCCGGGAACGUUCACUCCUCUUCAGUGUAUAAUUUUUUUUCCCGUCGGAUCCUAAUUCAAGUCCCACUACUUUCAUGAAGCCCUCCUCAGCUGCUUUAACCUGUGAGACUCCUGGAAUCCUUCUAACAGCUCUCAUCCCUGAAUGCCCGGAUGACUUUUUCUGAUUAUAAACAUGUUGCAGGAUGAGUAAGGAAAACUUGAAAGAGAAGGAAAUAUAUCAUCUUAGUUCUUCUUUGCAGAGAAUAUUAUACUUAGCAUCUUGUGAAUUUUUUAUAUGGACUUAAAAAAGAACUGAUGUAAUAAUGCAU
This 670-nucleotide long non-coding RNA is filed under the name Papio anubis (olive baboon). RNAcentral's name for it is "lncRNA (ENSPANG00000038715.1)". Lineage: Eukaryota; Metazoa; Chordata; Mammalia; Primates; Cercopithecidae. The record is from RNAcentral.